GAGUUUGAUCCUGGCUCAGAACGUACGCUGGCGGCACGCCUAACACAUGCAAGUCGAACGCAGUAGCAAUACUGAGUGGCAAACGGGUGAGUAUAAUGUGGGAAUCUGCCUUUUGGUUUGGAAUAACACGGGGAAACUUGUGCUAAUACCGAAUAAGCCCUUACGGGGAAAGUUUUAACGCCGAAAGAUGAGCCCGCACUUGAUUAGCUAGUUGGUAAGGUAAAAGCUUACCAAGGCAAUGAUCAAUAGCUGUUCUUAGAGGAAGACCAGCCACAUUGGGACUGAGACACGGCCCAGACUCCUACGGGAGGCAGCAGUGGGGAAUCUUGCACAAUGGGGGAAACCCUGAUGCAGCGAUGCCGCGUGAGUGAAGAAGGCCUUUGGGUUGUAAAACUCUUUCGUCGGGGAAGAAAAUGACUGUACCCGAAUAAGAAGGUCCGGCUAACUUCGUGCCAGCAGCCGCGGUAAUACGAAGGGACCUAGCGUAGUUCGGAAUUACUGGGCUUAAAGAGUUCGUAGGUGGUUGAAAAAGUUGGUGGUGAAAUCCCAGAGCUUAACUCUGGAACUGCCAUCAAAACUUUUCAGCUAGAGUAUGAUAGAGGAAAGCAGAAUUUCUAGUGUAGAGGUGAAAUUCGUAGAUAUUAGAAAGAAUACCAAUUGCGAAGGCAGCUUUCUGGAUCAUUACUGACACUGAGGAACGGAAGCAUGGGUAGCGAAGAGGAUUAGAUACCCUCGUAGUCCAUGCCGCAAACGAUGUGUGUUAGACGUUGGAAAAUUAUUUUCAGUGUCGCAGCGAAAGCGAUAAACACACCGCCUGGGGAGUACGACCGCAAGGUUAAAACUCAAAUGAAUUGACGGGGACCCGCACAAGUAGUGGAGCAUGUGGUUUAAUUCGAAGAUACGCGCAGAACCUUACCAACACUUGACAUGUUCGUCGCGACUUUAAGAGAUUAAAGUUUUCGGUUCGGCCGGACGAAACACAGGUGCUGCAUGGCUGUCGUCAGCUCGUGUCGUGAGAUGUUGGGUUAAGUCCCGCAACGAGCGCAACCCUCACUUUUAGUUGCCAUCAUUAAGUUGGGCACUCUGAAAGAACUGCCAGUGAUAAGCUGGAGGAAGGUGGGGAUGACGUCAAGUCCUCAUGGCCCUUACGUGUUGGGCUACACACGUGCUACAAUGGUAUCUACAACAGGAAGCAAGACUGCGAAGUUAAGCAAAUCCUUAAAAGAUACCUCAGUUCGGAUUGCACUCUGCAACUCGAGUGCAUGAAGCUGGAAUUACUAGUAAUCGUGGAUCAGCGUGCCACGGUGAAUGCGUUCCCGGGUCUUGCACACAC
This 1333-nucleotide ribosomal RNA is filed under the name uncultured bacterium. RNAcentral's name for it is "partial 16S ribosomal RNA". It matches the Rfam family "Bacterial small subunit ribosomal RNA". The record is from RNAcentral.